UAGUGACACCCUCACAUAUACAUCACAUUAUGUCGCAACAACCUCUCAUCCACUCACGCUCAUUAGUAUAUGACAAUAUGGCAUCAUUCUCCUUAGUGCUCAACUCGCCGCAUUUCACCUUGCUCUCUCUCCUCGUUGCCACAACCCACGAUUGUUUCUCUCCUCGAUCUUUAUUUCUCUCACAACUCAUUCAUUUUCUCUCUCUUGACCGUUUCUCACCGUCGUGAUCUCCUAUUCGUUUAUUUGUCUCGAUUUUUUUUAUAUCACAAUUUAUUUCUCUCCAUUGAGGUGACAAAGUUUAUUCUUUUUUAUUGUUUCUUUUUUCUAUUUUGAUUACUGUUUCCUAUUGUGUUUUACAUUUAGUAAAG
This 368-nucleotide long non-coding RNA is filed under the name Cicer arietinum (chickpea). RNAcentral describes it as "long non-coding RNA (CARI_LNC002091)". The record is from RNAcentral. Lineage: Eukaryota; Viridiplantae; Streptophyta; Magnoliopsida; Fabales; Fabaceae.